This is a long non-coding RNA of Rana temporaria (common frog), 1190 nucleotides long. RefSeq lists it as uncharacterized. The record is from RefSeq and is a predicted model, not a curated record. The transcript is spliced from 3 exons. NCBI's taxonomy places the organism in Eukaryota, Metazoa, Chordata, Amphibia, Anura, Ranidae.
AGGGCAUUACUGCUCCAUGCUAGGUUGUUUAAAUCUACAAGGGCCCCACCAUUUGCUAGCCAAAGACACUAGUAUUCUUCACCUCAGGACCUGCAGCUAUCUACUGUACUUGUGUAAUCCAUUCUUUUCUUUGCAUGUGUGCCUCUCAAGGGUGUUUGUGGCCCAGAAGGAGCUGAGAGGUUGACAAGUCUUCUCUCCUCCCUCUCCGCUCCUGUGUCAAGGGCAUUUAGAUUACUACCCUUCCUUAUCUGCAGUUGCUAAAAUUGAAGGUUGUCUUUUCUAAUGUAUUAGUUAUUUGUAGCAAGGUUUAACAGUGUUGUAAGUUUCCAUACGCUUUAAACCGUGCUAAUAUAUUCAGCUUGUUUAUCACUGCCAGGUGUGUGUCUGUUUUUGGUGAUAAUUCCACAGCCAGGAUAACGGUAUUUACUGCAUGUGUCCUAAAAUGUGCUUGCAGUAAUUUUAUUUAACCAGGUGUGUCAGAGGCGCUGAGGUCAUUCUUGGAGUUGAGGCGGAGGUCAGAGAAUCCAGAUUCACCAAGCGGCUCCUUCGGGGAUGGUGCUACAUUUACAACCCCUUUAAGCGGCGGGAGCGGAGCAUCCCCUCUUGCUCCUCCAGGAUAACAGCCAAGCGGCUUUUAGCUGCAUCGGUUGUUAUCCCUGAAGAGCCGACUGCCCGCUCUAAAAACAGUAAAAAAAAAAACAAAGGUCACAUUCUUCCUGUCAUCAGUGGAGCUCCACUCUGCAGCCAGACCCCUCUCGUAGAAACACAGGAAGUACGGGCGGAGGACGGGCUAGAUAUAGGAUACAUUCACUCCGUACCCUAAGAAGCCUCACAUGAUGCAGUUCUAACAAGACAACAACAUCACAUAUUGUGUGUGGAUCACUCUGACGGGAACUGAUGAAAGAUAAGCACAGAACGUUGUAUAACGUACAAUAUCCAAGGUGAGAGGAGGAGGAAAUAGGGAGCACACAUCACUGGAACACACAAAGAGGGAUUAUAGAGCAGUAACUGGAGAUCCAUUAACACCCAGCAGCCGUCUUCACAGGACGUCACCCAUCACAGUGCCUCCACCUCACUGUCUGACAACAGAGGUAUUUAGAAGGACAUGAGGAUCUCUACAAGGACGUCAUGAUGGAGAAUCAGCCGCCCCUCACAUCACCGGAUGGAUCCAGUAAUGGGAACCCACCAGA